CUGUGUUGGAGAUCAACUCCACCGUUAAAUGUCACAUGAAAAGCACGUGUGAAGGUCGGGCUUCUUUAAUUUUGACUCAUUUGAUAUGCUUGGAUUAUUAUUAUUAUUAUUAAGCAGAACAGACCGGUUACUGCCAUAUACUUUAUUGAUAAAAUUAAAAUGAUUGCACAACCCAAGGACUCAGCCAUAUAAAUGUACUGGCACCCAAUGAACUGAAGCUCCCAUCGGCUGAGGUCUCUA
This 240-nucleotide long non-coding RNA is filed under the name Elaeis guineensis (African oil palm). RNAcentral's name for it is "long non-coding RNA (EGUI_LNC026461)". The record is from RNAcentral. Lineage: Eukaryota; Viridiplantae; Streptophyta; Magnoliopsida; Arecales; Arecaceae.